Long non-coding RNA from Rhinichthys klamathensis goyatoka, 231 nucleotides. RefSeq lists it as uncharacterized. The record is from RefSeq and is a predicted model, not a curated record. The transcript is spliced from 2 exons. Lineage: Eukaryota; Metazoa; Chordata; Actinopteri; Cypriniformes; Leuciscidae.
CAUUUGGGAGCAAUUUAGCAAGAACAUACCUUUUUGAAAUAAUGGUGAACCAGCAUACUGUAUAGGCUUUUUAAAAAUUACAGGGUACAUAUCUAUGCAUUUAUAAAGUAAUCUUUUUUAACAAAAGUGCACUGAAAACGAAAACUAUUGCAACUUUUGCUUAAAUAUUGGGGAAAGAUACUCUUGUUUCAUGUAGUGGGUAAGUACAAUAAAAAUGCAUACACAAUCUUA